RNAcentral lists this unclassified non-coding RNA (2645 nucleotides) under Hevea brasiliensis (rubber tree). Lineage: Eukaryota; Viridiplantae; Streptophyta; Magnoliopsida; Malpighiales; Euphorbiaceae. The record is from RNAcentral.
CGGGCCUCUCUAGUCUAACCGCAAUCCCAAUUCCCAAACAGAGCCAAAACCUGCUCGUCAAUCGCCAUUCCAAACUGAGAAAUGGAGUACUCCAUUUCACAUAUGAAGCCACUUUGGGACUGCUGAAUCCUUCAAUUUCCUGUAGCUACCUACAAGUACAGGAAUUGACUGCACCAAAAAAUGACACUCGUAGUAUUCCCUUUUCUCACCUCACCUCCUCUAUGCCUCUUGCAUCAAAUUCCGAUUCCCAGAUUCUAUAUCACACUCCACCAGCUCAAAAAACAAACAAAGGACAAGGUUCCCUUGUAUGAUUUCUCUUAUCACUUAUCUGGCUCCCAUAGUCUAGCCCAUUUUCAGGGAUUCCUGGUGAUGGCAGGUGUUUGUUUCGGUCUGUGGUCCACGGAGCAUGCCUCAGGUCUGGGAAACCAUCUCCAAGUGAGAGCCUUGAAAAAGAACUUGCAGAUGAGCUACGAGCUAAAGUAGCAGAUGAAUUUAUUAAGAGGCGCAAGGACACUGAAUGGUUUCUUGAAGAUGAUUUUGACACCUAUGUCGAACAGAUGAGACAACCCCAUGUCUGGGGAGGGGAGCCUGAGCUGCUUAUGUCCUCACAUGUUCUAAAGUAAACUGCUCCUUAUCUACUCUUUCAAACAUCAGAAAGUCGAGAAAGUUUCUGUUGUACUUUCUAACUACAUCUGUUUGCAGAUUUAAAUUUUAUGCAAAUUAAAUUAGUUUUGCUGGAUUAUGGAUUUUAAGGGCUCAAUUUCCUUCAAAGUGGUUUCCUUGGUAGAUAUACCUGUGAAAUCUGCACCAGUAAUUGUUACAAACCUCCUUCAAUUUGAAAUUUAAGUUAAUUUGUAAUGUCGAACUGGAUAAAAUAAAAAAAAAUGUCACUUUCUUUUUGAAACUCUAAUGAGAUAUUCAAAAUUACAUUUAAUUAUAGUUUCUUAUUUUCUUCUGUUAGUCUAUCUUUAUCUUAUUAUCAAAUAUUUGGGUAGCCCAUUUAGUCAUAAAUCCACCAAAAGAUUCUCAUUUUUAUAUGAUCACACAAUUUUCCAUUUAUAGGGUGCCAAUAACAGUAUAUAUGAGGGACAGAAAUUCUGAUGGCCUCAAAAUUAUAGCUGAAUAUGGUCAAGAGUACGGCAGGGAAAAUCCCAUCUGUGUAUUGUAUCAUGGAUACGGACACUAUGAUGCAUUGCGGAGGCAGAUUGCUGGUUCACAAUCCAAGCAGUAAGAUCCCUUGCUUCCUCUAUUUUAUGUGUAUCUUUGGGCAAGCAAGUAAUGCUAACUUCCUUAUUCCUACUAUAUUGCCUGGUCAUUUCAUUUCUUAUGUCACAACACUAUUGUUUUAUAAUUAUCUUUUUGCACUUAGAAUCCAUCAGGCAUAAUUUUGUGAGGUGUAAUUACGAGAUUUUAUUCACCAAGGCAACUAAGUGGAGGGUGUAAAGAUUUUUGACUUUUUGAUUUUUUGAGUGCAUCAAUAGGGUCGCUGGGCUGGGAUGUUUACUGGUUAGUGGCUUAGUUUAAAUGCAACAUACAAUGCUUGGUGAAAGUCACAGUAGGUUUUACGUAUGCAGUUCCAAGGUUCCAUUGAGUAAUUUGAUAGUAAUCUUUCACCGACUAUUUUCUUGAGUCCUGAUCCCAUACGUAGCUGUAAGUAAACUGGAUGUGUAUUUGACAGAUGUUCUGCAUUGCUAGCAAAUUGCUAGAAAUAACUUACUCUGGCUAUGUUCAGAUUCUUCUACCCUUGGUUAAUGAAACUAUUUCUUUGGUUUCUUGGCAGGUGCAAGAAAAGAUGAACAAAUUGUUUCUUUUUUAACAACGCAGAACAUAAUCCAAUGUGCUGUAAAAUUUCUGGUUGUGUCUGAAGAUUUACCUUAUUCCUUCAUGGAUUUGAAUUAUUCAAUUCUACUCUAAAUGUAAAAAAGUUGAUGAACUGACUAGAUGGAUGUCAAUAAAUAAAUGUCCUUUACUCAGAAAAUUCGAAUGGAUAAGAUAAUUGUCCAUUUGAGAUUCUGUCAUGACCCUGUAACCUGUACGGCUGAAUUCUUGAACCUUAUGCUGGACCUAAGUCGAUUGGUGAUGGAUAUGUAACCCUUGAGCCGAGGACAGGGACUAAGUCUAGCUAAAAUAAGUCUUGCUAAAAUUUCCAUUGGCGUAUGGAUUUAUCUAUAAAAUUCUUGAAAAUGUUAUCUAUUUUCUUUUCAUUCUGUCUUCCCAAACAAGAACACUUUUUUAUUUUUCAUCUAUCCGGGUAAAGAAAAUAGUAACUAGAAUUUUCCUUCCUCUCUAAAGAAAUUCCCAAACACUGUUUGGAGAACUUAGUCACAGAAUGGCACUAAACAAGAGCGGCCUCAGUAAUUUAUUAUUAGUUGCUAAUCAGGUAAAUGUCACUUAAACCCCAAGAUUACUUGCUAAUUCUAUUGACCUUAUUUUGGCCAAAGCCUCAGUUUUUUAUACCUUAUCAAAACCCUGAAACAAUCAACUUCCCAUCAACGUUAAACAGAUGAAGCUUGAAAAGAUUAAUAGAACUCUUCACAAUUUGAUGCUCAAACUCAUUUGGUAGCCUUCUUCUCCACUCUCCAAAACUGUAGGUAAUAACGUUAACCCUCGCUAGAAUUGAAUAUUGAUCCACAGGAAUAACCUUC